Long non-coding RNA from Galeopterus variegatus (Sunda flying lemur), 841 nucleotides. RefSeq lists it as uncharacterized. The record is from RefSeq and is a predicted model, not a curated record. The transcript has 2 exons. Lineage: Eukaryota; Metazoa; Chordata; Mammalia; Dermoptera; Cynocephalidae.
CAGAUGAAUGAAGAGGCUUUCAGCUCCCGGGUGACAGAUGCCAGCUGAGAACUUGCUCUUCCAGGGGACAAGGAUAAAGUUACUGGGCUCCUCGGGGUCUGGCCUGACACAGCCUGAGAAGAGCCAGUUAUUUCCUGUUUCCAGCUCUGCUCCCUCCGGCAGGGGCAGCCCCGUCUCCUGUGUGCACCUAAUACCUGCAGUUUCUCCGUGCAUUUAAAGUUGACACGAGCCUGUCCUAUUGGAGGGCUCACCCCCUCCUUGCCUUUUGCCCAUGCUGGUCCAGUUUGCUCCAGAGCAUCUUGUCAGUGGCUGUGUGGGCCGUGGUGCUCCCCCGCGGUGGCACCGGGGACAGUGCCUGGGGACAGCUGACCACUCCUCCUGCUGCAGGAGGAUUUCCGUGGGUGCAUGCUCAGGACAGACAUGCAGCUUGCAGGGUCUCCAUCCCCCUUGUGCGGGAGGGACCAGCGCCCCCACCUGGGCCCAGACCCGGCACCUCCCGCCGUUGCAGGGCAGGUGAGGAGUGGACACGCCCCAGUGUGUGUUUGUGUUUGUCUAUUAACUAGAGAGUCAGGACCAGGUGUUCAGAGCCUUUUCCACGCCCGCUGUAUUUUUAUGUUUUCUCUUCUGUACAUUACCUGCUCACUUGGGGUUGCUGCUUCCUUCUGUUAUUUCAAAAUUAUAGAAGCUUUUGCAUAUUCUAGAUAUUAGUCCUCUGUUAAUUUUGGCCAUUAGAAAAAAAAAAUCUGUCAAUAAGUCACCAAUGUCUUAACUGUGCCCGUGUUGUCCUUUGUUAAACAGAAGUUCUUAAUUUUCAUGUAAUAAAUUAUCUCUCUCUCUCUCA